RNAcentral lists this ribosomal RNA (78 nucleotides) under Veillonella dispar. Its description in RNAcentral is "partial 23S ribosomal RNA". It matches the Rfam family "Bacterial large subunit ribosomal RNA", at positions 1 to 75 of the family's 2925-position model. Lineage: Bacteria; Bacillati; Bacillota; Negativicutes; Veillonellales; Veillonellaceae. The record is from RNAcentral.
AUAAGUAAAGAUUUUAAGGGCGUACGGUGGAUGCCUUGGCGAUAUCAGCCGAAGAAGGACGCGGUAAGCUGCGAUAAG